GGGGAAUAUUGNACAAUGGGNGCAAGCCUGAUCCAGCAAUACCGCGUGUGUGAAGAAGGCCUGACGGGUUGUAAAGCACUUUCAAUUGUGAAGAAANGCUNANGGUUAAUAACCUNGNGUCUGACGUACUUAGAAGAGCACCG
Molecule: ribosomal RNA, 143 nt
Filed under: uncultured bacterium
Lineage: Bacteria
Description: partial 16S ribosomal RNA
Rfam family: Bacterial small subunit ribosomal RNA
Source: RNAcentral